This 253-nucleotide ribosomal RNA is filed under the name uncultured bacterium. RNAcentral describes it as "partial 16S ribosomal RNA". It matches the Rfam family "Bacterial small subunit ribosomal RNA", at positions 524 to 776 of the family's 1533-position model. The record is from RNAcentral.
UACGUAGGGGGCGAGCGUUGUCCGGAUUUACUGGGCGUAAAGCGCGUGUAGGCGGCGGCUUAAGUCGGGUGUGAAAACCCGGGGCUCAACUCCGGGCCUGCAGCCGAUACGGGCAGACUAGAGUUCGGCAGGGGAGACUGGAAUUCCUGGUGUAGCGGUGAAAUGCGCAGAUAUCAGGAGGAACACCGGUGGCGAAGGCGGGUCUCUGGGCCGAUACUGACGCUGAGGAGCGAAAGCGUGGGGAGCGAACAGG